RNAcentral lists this ribosomal RNA (279 nucleotides) under uncultured bacterium. RNAcentral's name for it is "partial 16S ribosomal RNA". It matches the Rfam family "Bacterial small subunit ribosomal RNA", at positions 506 to 784 of the family's 1533-position model. The record is from RNAcentral.
UGCCAGCAGCCGCGGUAAUACGAAGGGGGCUAGCGUUGUUCGGAAUUACUGGGCGUAAAGCGCAUGCAGGCGGAUCGCUAAGUCGGGGGUGAAAGCCCGAGGCUCAACCUCGGAACUGCCUUCGAUACUGGUGAUCUUGAGUCCGGGAGAGGUGAGUGGAACUCCGAGUGUAGAGGUGAAAUUCGUAGAUAUCAGGAGGAACACCGAUGGCGAAGGCAUCUCUCUGGGUCGAUAUUGACGCUGAGGCGCGAAGGCGUGGGUAGCGAACGGGAUUAGAUA